This 253-nucleotide unclassified non-coding RNA is filed under the name uncultured Phycisphaeraceae bacterium. RNAcentral's name for it is "contains 16S-23S intergenic spacer region". It matches the Rfam family "Bacterial small subunit ribosomal RNA", at positions 524 to 776 of the family's 1533-position model. Lineage: Bacteria; Pseudomonadati; Planctomycetota; Phycisphaerae; Phycisphaerales; Phycisphaeraceae. The record is from RNAcentral.
GACGAGGGGCCCAAGCGUUAAUCGGAAUCACUGGGCUUAAAGGGUGCGUAGGCGGACGCGCAAGUAUCUUGUGAAAUCCCCCGGCUCAACCGGGGAAUUGCGGGGUAAACUGCGUGUCUUGAGGCAGAUAGAGGCCAUCGGAACGCUAGGUGGAGCGGUGAAAUGCGUAGAGAUCUAGCGGAACGCCAAAGGUGAAGACAGGUGGCUGGGUCUGUCCUGACGCUCAGGCACGAAAGCGUGGGGAGCAAACGGG